GACGAACGCUGGCGGCGUGCUUAACACAUGCAAGUCGAGCGGAAAGGCCACUUCGGUGGUACUCGAGCGGCGAACGGGUGAGUAACACGUGAGUAAUCUGCCCCUCACUUUGGGAUAGCCACCCGAUACGGAGAUCAAUACCGGAUAUGACCAAAAGUUGCAUGCCGUGUGGUGGAAAGUUUUUCGGUGAGGGAUGUGCUCGCGGCCUAUCAGCUUGAUGGUGAGGUAAUGGCUCACCAUGGCCUCGACGGGUAGCCGGCCUGAGAGGGCGACCGGUCACACUGGGACUGAGACACGGCCCAGACUCCUACGGGAGGCAGCAGUGGGGAAUAUUGCACAAUGGGCGGAAGCCUGAUCCAGCAACGCCGCGUGAGGGAUGACGGCCUUCGGGUUGUAAACCUCUUUCAGUACGGACGAAGCGCAAGUGACGGUAGGUACAGAAGAAGCACCGGCCAACUACGUG
This 463-nucleotide ribosomal RNA is filed under the name uncultured bacterium. Its description in RNAcentral is "partial 16S ribosomal RNA". It matches the Rfam family "Bacterial small subunit ribosomal RNA", at positions 28 to 507 of the family's 1533-position model. The record is from RNAcentral.